CAGCCGCCACGGUAAUACGGAGGGGGCUAGCGUUGUUCGGAAUUACUGGGCGUAAAGCGUACGUAGGCGGCUUUGUAAGUUAGAGGUGAAAGCCUGGUGCUCAACACCAGAACUGCCUUUAAGACUGCAUCGCUUGAACGUCGGAGAGGUGAGUGGAAUUCCGAGUGUAGAGGUGAAAUUCGUAGAUAUUCGGAAGAACACCAGUGGCGAAGGCGGCUCACUGGACGACUGUUGACGCUGAGGUACGAAAGCGUGGGGAGCAAACAGGAUUAGAUACCCGAGUAGUCCCUGUCUCUUAUAC
RNAcentral lists this ribosomal RNA (301 nucleotides) under uncultured bacterium. RNAcentral's name for it is "partial 16S ribosomal RNA". It matches the Rfam family "Bacterial small subunit ribosomal RNA", at positions 509 to 807 of the family's 1533-position model. The record is from RNAcentral.